This 221-nucleotide long non-coding RNA is filed under the name Mytilus galloprovincialis (Mediterranean mussel). The record is from RNAcentral. Lineage: Eukaryota; Metazoa; Mollusca; Bivalvia; Mytilida; Mytilidae.
GGCACAAAAGAGUGCUGCCAUGUUUGAAAUUCACAGUGUGUGCCAUUGUAUUUAAUCUGCUAAUUUACACAACAGUGAUAACCCUGCAGACUUUGUGUUUUGACCAUCAGGAGAAAAAGGUUCUAAUCGAUUAUACAAAAAACAGAUGGCCAAUAGAAAUCCAUUUUGUAUAGUCACUGUCAAUCUUCUUAGAUUAAAAAAUACAAACAAGCUGACAGACG